CGAGCGGUAGCACGGGAGAGCUUGCUCUCUGGGUGACGAGCGGCGGACGGGUGAGUAAUGUCUGGGAAACUGCCUGAUGGAGGGGGAUAACUACUGGAAACGGUAGCUAAUACCGCAUGACCUCGCAAGAGCAAAGUGGGGGACCUUCGGGCCUCACGCCAUCGGAUGUGCCCAGAUGGGAUUAGCUAGUAGGUGGGGUAAUGGCUCACCUAGGCGACGAUCCCUAGCUGGUCUGAGAGGAUGACCAGCCACACUGGAACUGAGACACGGUCCAGACUCCUACGGGAGGCAGCAGUGGGGAAUAUUGCACAAUGGGCGCAAGCCUGAUGCAGCCAUGCCGCGUGUGUGAAGAAGGCCUUAGGGUUGUAAAGCACUUUCAGCGAGGAGGAAGGCGCUGUAGUUAAUAGCUGCAGCGAUUGACGUUACUCGCAGAAGAAGCACCGGCUAACUCCGUGCCAGCAGCCGCGGUAAUACGGAGGGUGCAAGCGUUAAUCGGAAUUACUGGGCGUAAAGCGCACGCAGGCGGUUUGUUAAGUCAGAUGUGAAAUCCCCGAGCUUAACUUGGGAACUGCAUUUGAAACUGGCAAGCUAGAGUCUUGUAGAGGGGGGUAGAAUUCCAGGUGUAGCGGUGAAAUGCGUAGAGAUCUGGAGGAAUACCGGUGGCGAAGGCGGCCCCCUGGACAAAGACUGACGCUCAGGUGCGAAAGCGUGGGGAGCAAACAGGAUUAGAUACCCUG
RNAcentral lists this ribosomal RNA (737 nucleotides) under Serratia sp. IF0AN6. RNAcentral's name for it is "bacterial SSU rRNA". It matches the Rfam family "Bacterial small subunit ribosomal RNA", at positions 63 to 789 of the family's 1533-position model. The record is from RNAcentral. Lineage: Bacteria; Pseudomonadati; Pseudomonadota; Gammaproteobacteria; Enterobacterales; Yersiniaceae.